GUGGGGAAUAUUGGACAAUGGGCGAAAGCCUGAUCCAGCAAUGCCGCGUGAGUGAUGAAGGCCUUAGGGUUGUAAAGCUCUUUUACCCGGGAUGAUAAUGACAGUACCGGGAGAAUAAGCUCCGGCUAACUUCGUGCCAGCAGCCGCGGUAAUACGAGGGGAGCUAGCGUUGUUCGGAAUUACUGGGCGUAAAGCGCGCGUAGGCGGUUUUCCAAGUCAGGGGUGAAAGCCCGGGGCUCAACCCCGGAAUAGCCCUUGAAACUGGAGAACUAGAAUCUUGGAGAGGUCAGUGGAAUUCCGAGUGUAGAGGUGAAAUUCGUAGAUAUUCGGAAGAACACCAGUGGCGAAGGCGACUGACUGGACAAGUAUUGACGCUGAGGUGCGAAAGCGUGGGGAGCAAACAGGAUUAGAUACCCGUGUAGUCC
Molecule: ribosomal RNA, 425 nt
Filed under: uncultured bacterium
Lineage: Bacteria
Description: partial 16S ribosomal RNA
Rfam family: Bacterial small subunit ribosomal RNA
Source: RNAcentral